Molecule: long non-coding RNA, 1074 nt
Filed under: Oryctolagus cuniculus (rabbit)
Lineage: Eukaryota; Metazoa; Chordata; Mammalia; Lagomorpha; Leporidae
Description: lncRNA (ENSOCUG00000032012.1)
Source: RNAcentral
AUUCUGAUGGAUUGUAAAAGAAGCAUUUUAUUUACAAAAGCAACCCCUUAAUACAGUGAUCAGUAAAUUUCCACUUGUUCAGCUUACAAAGAUAAUCACUGUUUCCAGCUGAAAUAAAUAUAACAUUUUUGCUCAUCCAUUGACACAAAAUUAGCAUUUUUUUUUUAUAAAGCUAGUUUUGAAACAAAAUUGUGAGAUGUGUUUUAGGGAAUUUUGCAAACAGUAAACAAAUCACAAGUCUAAAUUUUAUGAAGUUUUAUCUACUAUGAGUUUGUAACAGAAACAAUUCAGAAAUAUUUAAUAUAGAGAUGAAAAGGCUUACUGAAUCAUUCUUUAAAGAGAAAUUAAUUUAAGAUUAAAUAAAAAUAUAUAAAUAUUUUAAAGUUUAUUUGUAUUCACUUAUUUCUUUCAAAGAAUGGAAACACAUUGUAUAGUCUUCUCAUUCUUAGUGCUUUCUCCUCAUUAAACUUAAAAUCUUUUGUUAUAAGCAUCUUUCUAGCCAGGAGGGAAAGUUGAGCAGCUGCUUUUGUAGAUGAACUUGCUCAGUUGCUACAGCCAACAGGAGUGUUAAAACCAAAAGCAAGAGACGCUUACCCACUUCGUAUCAUUCCUGCAUCAGGCUUGUCAUGCUGCCAGCCCAAGUGAAGAUCCAGCCAAUUCUCAACUCUUAUCGUCUGUGUUCUCGUUUAAUAUCUUGGAUGCUCAACAUCAUUCGCUGUAACUAAUGCAUCAACAGCUAACAGAACACUUUUCUUUAUUUGAAUUAAGGUUGAACCAUUGCCAAUAUUUCAUUGGAUUUAAAGGAUUACAAGCAGCUUUGUGACAACCAGUGGAGACUGUUUUGAAGUUUGUGAUCCCAGUGAAACUUUGGGUGUCUGCUGCAAGACUCCACCAAGCCUUAAACAUGGGGCAGCAAUGCAAAAGUAGAGUCCACAAAAUGUAAGCAGCAAUUUGAACUUGUAAAUGAUAGAGGAACAAAGAAAACAGCGCUCCAAAUAAGGACUUUUGCUACUGUCUUUGGUAGUUCCAAGUACACUAUGUUGAUCUGAUUGACUUAUUUCCUUUGUUUUUGAC